Molecule: long non-coding RNA, 2228 nt
Organism: Rattus norvegicus (Norway rat)
Lineage: Eukaryota; Metazoa; Chordata; Mammalia; Rodentia; Muridae
Source: RefSeq, a predicted model, not a curated record
AUAAUGGAAGAGAUGAAGAGCCAACAUGCAAACACACACGGGCACACGCACAAUGAUUAUAAUGUUAUAAAAUGCUAUAAAAUAAAGAUGGUGAGUGAUAAAGUGAGGUAUGUGUGUAAAGGGGAGAGUUCUUUCAGAUAAGAUGUCUAGGCAAAUACCUCUUUAAAGAAGCUAUGUUUACUAACAGAAUAAAACUGCUUUUAUAAUAAGGAACAGGAGACUUGACUGGGCCAAUAGGAAGGCUAAUGUGGCUGUAGAUCCGGGAGUCAUGACUGAGUGAAUUAAGGAGAAAGGCCGUGAGCAGCUCAUGCUAGGAUUUGGAGAGUUUGGAUUAACACCAAAAGGCCCUGUAAAGUAAAGCUUGUGUUUCUUUGUUUGUAUUUUCUUUUAUAGUAUAGGGAGUUACAUUAUGUCUUUGUGUCUCUGUGUCUUUAAACAGUAGGGUUCUUGAAGAGACACUCUUCUUGUCUUGCAGAAAGCAUUCUUUACAUUGAACAUAUCCUCACAUGAUAGAGAGACCCCACACAUACAUGUAUGUACUUAAAGAAUACUUUACUGCUAGAAUGAAGAAUAGAUUAGAAAGAGACAUAUCAAAAAACAGAAUUGCCGGUGUGCUGGUGCAUACCUUUAAUCUAGCACUUUGGAGGCAGAGGCAGGCAGAUAUGAGUUCAAGGCCAGUCUGGUCUGCAGAGAGAGUCAGGGAUACACAAACCCUGUCUUGGAAAACAAGAACAAAAACAAAACAAAGAAAACAAAAAACAGAUGUUGAAAGAAUUAAUCCAGUUGAGAAAUGGUGGAAUUUUAGAAGUGAAGUUAGCAAGGUAGAUAAGAGCAGAAGAUAUUCAAAGUACAGUUUAUUUUGGAGGAAGAAGUUAUGGAUGGUUUGAGCACAGAACAACCGUAGAUGCGGGUGUGGUAGAAUACAUUGGAAAAGUCCCUGUAGGCUCAUAUAUUUGAAUGCUUUAGCUCCUAGGUGAUGGACCUGUUUGGAAAGGAUUAGAAGGUGCGUGGCCUUGCUAGAGUAGGUGUGUCACUGUGGGUGUGGGUGGAGAUCGGAAGUUUUAAAAAUCCACGCCAUAACCAGUUAGUUAGUUCUCUCUUUCUCUCUCUCUCUUCCUCUCCCCUCUCCCCUUCUCUCCCCUCCCCCCUCGCUCUGACUCCUGCUUGUAGAGUAGAUGUAAGUUCUCAGCCACUGUUCCGGCACCAUGCCUGCCUACUGCCGUGCUCCCACCAAGAUCAUGGGGCCAAUGGGCAGAAGACACCCGGAGGCCCACACAGGUGGCCAGGUGCCACUACUAUGGACAAGUAUGUGGUGGAAAGAUGGGAGAGAAGGAGAGGAAAAGCAAUUUGUGUACUGUGAGAGAGACAGAACAGGAGAUGCAAGGACUGUGAGGAACAGCAUGAUGGUGGAACUGGCCUUGAUGGUGAUGGAGCUGCCCCAUCUCCAGCUGUGGCACUCAGGAGAGCUGUCCCAACAUCUUACCUGGGCAUUGCAGGAGAGCUGGCCCUGAUGGCUUGGGCAUAGGAGAACUGCUGCAGGCAACACAGGGUAACAACAGGAUAUCCAAGAGGAGUCCUGGAGAGGAUACUGUAGCAGAAGCCAGAGACCUUGAACCAGACCAGUGACUCACUGUGAUGAACAUUUGCAAGUAAAGCUGUUUGAACAAAAGGGUGUAUGACACACCACGACACACCACAGCUUCCAACAGUGAGAUUUAAAAAAAAAUUCUUCAUUUCUUUCUUUCUUUCUUUUUUUUUUUUUUUGCUUUCUUAUGUGUGGAGUUUGCAAGGGCAGAGGGCAGAUAUUGAGGAAGUGAGAGAUGAGUGAGACUGGGGUGCACGAUGCAAAAUUCACAAAGAAUCAAUAAAAUGUUAAAAAUAAAAAGAGAUGGUCAUGGACUUAUUCUCUGAAACUUUGAGCCUCCAAUAAAUUAUUUCUUCUAUAAGUUCCUUUGGCCAUAGUAUCUUUUCAUAGUAAUAAAAAAGUAACUAAGACAGUGGGUGAGGAAAAAACUGAAUUUGACUUGGGUAUUUCUGGAUCAUGUGACUGAAUUUCCCUUACAUGUCAAUGCUUCAUUGAAUACUUAAUUUAGGGAGCUUGGAUCAGGGAAGGGGCAAAAGAUUUGUUUUGGAUAUAUUAGAUCCUAGGUGCCUAAGAUGCAGACAAAUGGAGAAGUCAGGUUAGCAGGAGGCUGGUGAGAUCGCUCAGCGGUUAAGAGCACUGACUC